UUACUUACUUGGUGUCGGGCUUCCUGGUGAUCAGCGAGGUCUGUGCCACGUGCCGAGGCCUCCCAUUGCACUCUGGUUAGCUGAAGUACGCCACUUUCCCAAAGUGGGAUAGGUGGGACAUGUAAUUUUUGGUAGUGGGGCUUGGCGUGCGCGCCAGCCCAAA
Small nuclear RNA from Dermacentor silvarum, 163 nucleotides. RefSeq annotates it as U1 spliceosomal RNA. The transcript has a single exon. Lineage: Eukaryota; Metazoa; Arthropoda; Arachnida; Ixodida; Ixodidae. The record is from RefSeq and is a predicted model, not a curated record.